This 740-nucleotide ribosomal RNA is filed under the name uncultured bacterium. Its description in RNAcentral is "bacterial SSU rRNA". It matches the Rfam family "Bacterial small subunit ribosomal RNA", at positions 8 to 796 of the family's 1533-position model. The record is from RNAcentral.
AGAGUUUGAUCAUGGCUCAGAGCGAACGCUGGCGGCAGGCUUAACACAUGCAAGUCGAGCGCCCCGCAAGGGGAGCGGCAGACGGGAGAGUAACACGUGGGAACGUACCCUUCAGUUCGGAACAACCCAGGGAAACUUGGGCUAAUACCGAAUACGUCCGUAAGGAGAAAGAUUUAUCGCUGAAGGAUCGGCCCGCGUCUGAUUAGCUAGUUGGUGGGGUAACGGCCCACCAAGGCUACGAUCAGUAGCUGGUCUGAGAGGAUGAUCAGCCUCACUGGGACUGAGACACGGCCCAGACUCCUACGGGAGGCAGCAGUGGGGAAUAUUGGACAAUGGGCGCAAGCCUGAUCCAGCCAUGCCGCGUGGGUGAUGAAGGCCCUAGGGUUGUAAAGCCCUUUCGGCGGGGAAGAUAAUGACGGUACCCGCAGAAGAAGCCCCGGCUAACUUCGUGCCAGCAGCCGCGGUAAUACGAAGGGGGCUAGCGUUGCUCGGAAUCACUGGGCGUAAAGCGCACGUAGGCGGGUUGUUAAGUCGGGGGUGAAAUCCUGGAGCUCAACUCCAGAACUGCCCUCGAUACUGGCGAUCUUGAGUCCGGGAGAGGUGAGUGGAACUGCGAGUGUAGAGGUGAAAUUCGUAGAUAUUCGCAAGAACACCAGUGGCGAAGGCGGCUCACUGGCCCGGUACUGACGCUGAUGUGCGAAAGCGUGGGGAGCAAACAGGAUUAGAUACCCCUGUAGUCC